GUUGACCUCGAAUCAGGUAGGAAUACCCGCUGAACUUAAGCAUAUCAAUAAGCGGAGGAAAAGAAACCAACAGGGAUUGCCCCAGUAACGGGGAGUGAAGCGGCAGCAGCUCAAAUUUGAAAUCUGGCCCCCCACGGGGCCCGAGUUGUAAUUUGCAGAGGAUGCUUUUGGCGAGGCGCCUUCCGAGUUCCCUGGAACGGGACGCCAUAGAGGGUGAGAGCCCCGUCUGGUCGGACGCCGAGCCUCUGUAAAGCUCCUUCGACGAGUCGAGUAGUUUGGGAAUGCUGCUCUAAAUGGGAGGUAUAUGUCUUCUAAAGCUAAAUACCGGCCAGAGACCGAUAGCGCACAAGUAGAGUGAUCGAAAGAUGAAAAGCACUUUGAAAAGAGGGUUAAACAGUACGUGAAAUUGUUGAAAGGGAAGCGCUCGUGACCAGACUUGGGCCCGGCGGAUCACCCAGCGUUCUCGCUGGUGCACUCCGGCGGGCCCAGGCCAGCAUCAGCUCGUCCCGGGGGACAAAGGCGGGGGGAACGUGGCUCCUCCGGGAGUGUUAUAGCCCACCGCGCAAUGCCCUGGGGCGGGCUGAGGACCGCGCGUACGCAUGGAUGCUGGCGUAAUGGUCACCAGCGACCCGUCUUGAAACACGGACCAA
RNAcentral lists this ribosomal RNA (650 nucleotides) under Claviceps africana. RNAcentral's name for it is "eukaryotic LSU rRNA". It matches the Rfam family "Eukaryotic large subunit ribosomal RNA", at positions 1 to 669 of the family's 3401-position model. Lineage: Eukaryota; Fungi; Ascomycota; Sordariomycetes; Hypocreales; Clavicipitaceae. The record is from RNAcentral.